AUUGAACGCUGGCAGAAUGCUUUACACAUGCAAGUCGAACGGCAGCACGGACUUCGGUCUGGUGGCAAGUGGCGAACGGGUGAGUAAUGUAUCGGAACGUGCCCAGUCGUGGGGGAUAACGUAGUGAAAAUUACGCUAAUACCGCAUACGAUCUAUGGAUGAAAGCGGGGGAUCGCAAGACCUCGCGCGAUUGGAGCGGCCGAUAUCAGAUUAGGUAGUUGGUGGGGUAAAGGCCCACCAAGCCAACGAUCUGUAGCUGGUCUGAGAGGACGACGCGGCACACUGGAACUGAGGCACGGUCCAGACUCCUACGGGAGGCAGCAGUGGGGAAUUUUGGACAAUGGGCGGAAGCCUGAUCCAGCCAUUCCGCGUGCAGGAUGAAGGCCCUCGGGUUGUAAACUGCUUUUGUACAGAACGAAAAGGUUUCUACUAAUACUAGGAGCUCAUGACGGUACUGUAAGAAUAAGCACCGGCUAACUACGUGCCAGCCGCCGCAGUAA
This 500-nucleotide ribosomal RNA is filed under the name uncultured bacterium. Its description in RNAcentral is "partial 16S ribosomal RNA". It matches the Rfam family "Bacterial small subunit ribosomal RNA", at positions 30 to 523 of the family's 1533-position model. The record is from RNAcentral.